GACGAACGCUGGCGGCGUGCUUAACACAUGCAAGUCGAACGGAGAGGCCCCUUUGGGGGUCCUCGAGUGGCGAACGGGUGAGUAACACGUGAGUAACCUGCCCUUGACUUCGGGAUAACUUCAGGAAACUGGGGCUAAUACCGGAUAGGAAUCCUUGCUGCAUGGUGGGGGUUGGAAAGCUUCGGCGGUUUUGGAUGGACUCGCGGCUUAUCAGCUUGUUGGUGGGGUAGUGGCUUACCAAGGCUUUGACGGGUAGCCGGCCUGAGAGGGCGACCGGCCACAUUGGGACUGAGAUACGGCCCAGACUCCUACGGGAGGCAGCAGUGGGGAAUAUUGCACAAUGGGCGGAAGCCUGAUGCAGCAACGCCGCGUGCGGGAUGACGGCCUUCGGGUUGUAAACCGCGUUCAGCAGGGGCGAAGCUUGUGGUGACGGUACCUGCAGAAGAAGCACCGGCUAACUACGUG
This 465-nucleotide ribosomal RNA is filed under the name uncultured bacterium. Its description in RNAcentral is "partial 16S ribosomal RNA". It matches the Rfam family "Bacterial small subunit ribosomal RNA", at positions 28 to 507 of the family's 1533-position model. The record is from RNAcentral.